AUUCACUUAAUAAAUAUGAGAUUUCAGAAAAUAAGUCUUACAAGAUCUAAACUGAUGUACUUUUUAUAGCAGAGCCAGCGCGGCCGCAGGCCGCGCGCGGAGCUCCAUAGGUAUAGAAAUAUGGUAUAGCUUAAGCUAUGCGACUUGGUUUUGUGGUCAUCGCGCGGGUAUCCUGUGGUGUGACAAUCCAUCCAUCCAGUCAAUCGUGCAAAUCCCAGGCCCCCUCGGUCUUACUUUUUACGUAUUUUUAUUUUUUACCGCCAUCAAAGUUCGUAUGUUCACAGCAAAAAAGGCAGAUUGAAAAUAGUAUUUAAUGAGAAAAUAUGCGGAUUCAAAUGGGCUGAAAUCUUUGAGGAACCGUUUUGUCUGAAGUAUGAGCCGAUAGUAAAAUCUACCCGAGUGUUCGUGAAUCCCGUCCGUUGCAGCAGCAAAAAGAGGACUACUUAGAGGCUCUACACUACCAUUCUAAUAACAUUCCUUCACGUCUAUAUCUAUGGAGAUCUAUAAGGAGAUCCUGAGAAGAAAGGGCCUUGGCACUGGACGAAAUAAAGAAUUUAAGUGCAUUUUAGACAUAUCCGAAAUGUACCUUAAAUUUACUAUAGUCUAUAAGUUGCAUUUAAAGGCCACACUUAAAGUCAGUAGUAACUUUAAAAAGAUUUAAGUGUUUAUUUAAGGAUUAUUAAAUGUACUAAUAACUUUAAGGUCAAAUUAAAGUUGUCUUAAAGACAUUAGUAACUUUAAACAACUUUCUUGCUCUUUAUUGAUUACUUAAAGUUAUCAAGAUAUUUAAGCUAGACGAAAUAAAGAAUUUAAGUUACAUUUAAGUGGGGCUCUUAUAGUCAGUAGCAACUUUAAGUAGAUAUUGAUUGUUAACUUAAAUUCCUUUAAAUGUAGUAUUGACUUUAAGUAACUUUCUUUGCCUUUAUCGAAAACUUAAUCUUUAGGAGAUUUAAGUGUCUUUCAUUAGUUCUAAAUUUCAUCAUAUUCGUUGGACUUAGAAAAUAUUUUCCGUAGUUUAGAAGUUAAUUUAGUUUCUAAACAUUAUAUUUUUGGCUAAUAUCAGGAACGUUUUAUAAAACGCAUAUAAAUAGCUUUAAGAAUAUUCGGUUUCUUGUUUAACCAAGUGAUUUGUAUUUUGGCAGAAAGAAAAAGCGAUGAAAAAUUGAUAUUCGCAUUAUUUUAGUAUUACUUUGCCUUUAGCAGUAAUAAUAACAGCUUCACCGGCGGAGAGGAAGUCAGUCAUACACGAGAGGAAGUGACGCGCAAGCGUAUCUAUUGUUUUCCCUUCACGUGACUACCACGGCGGGCUUUUCGCAUAGCGUGUUUAGAAGUGUGACUUUGGUUCAUCUAACUUCUCUCUAAAUCCACGCCAAAAGAUGCGCUAUUUCUUUCAAUGACAUCAAAUCAAAUGGCAAAGCCUACCAAUGAAAACAUGUUGACCACAUAACCUUCAAGUUUGGAGGAAAAACAGAGCUUUAAAUGCGGGAAAUCAGCGACUGCGUGCGUGAGGUGAGAAUUUUAACAGUGAAGACAGAACUCGCUGAAAUUCUCGCCGAAAGGGAGCCUCAGAGACUUUCAGCUGCAUUUAACAGUAUUUCCAAAGCCUGAAGGAUGACAUAAAUAAAAAGUAUGAUGGGACACUGGAUGCUCAUAGGAAAUCAUGCAGACAGUACCAGACGGUCAUCAUAAAACAGCAGAAAGUCCUAAAUGCUGUGGAGACUAUUAACUGGCCAGAGAAGAAAAAGAAGAGGUUUGCCGAUGUUCUGAAUGAUGUACACAACAUUUCAUCGGAGAAGAGCGAGGAAGAGGGAGAUGGGGUUGUCUUCUUCUUUAAAUCAUUGAAGUGGGAAAAAAAACAUUGAUUAUUUCCUACUUUCAUUAAUAUGCUUUUGAGUCAAGCUGACUGUUUGAUUUUUGUUCUACAUUAGUUUUCGUAGUUAGCAUUUUAUCACAUAAAAGAUAGCUUUUUAGAUGUAAGUUAUAAGAUUUGUAUAUCAAAUCAGAUUUCAUGCCAUUAUGCACAUGUAAGAGACGACUAAGGAUUUAAAUAAAAAUAGAAUGGAAGCUUAAUAUUGAUUGUGUCUCCCUGCUCAAAAAUUAUUAUGAUGAUGUGGAUUAAACUAUGCAAAAUUCUCAGUGC
Nematostella vectensis (starlet sea anemone) is the source of this 2140-nucleotide long non-coding RNA. RefSeq lists it as uncharacterized. The record is from RefSeq and is a predicted model, not a curated record. NCBI's taxonomy places the organism in Eukaryota, Metazoa, Cnidaria, Anthozoa, Actiniaria, Edwardsiidae. The transcript is spliced from 3 exons.